GGACUGGCGAUUAGGACUAAGUCGUAACAAGGUAGCCGUACCGGAAGGUGCGGCUGGAUCACCUCCUUUCUAAGGAGCA
Molecule: ribosomal RNA, 79 nt
Rfam family: Bacterial small subunit ribosomal RNA (bases 1-69)